AUGUGCACCCUGGAGCAGCGCGGCCGCGUGUUCGUCCUCACCCUCACGGGCGACGGCGAGCACCGCCUGGGCCACCCGCUCAUCGCCUCCAUCCGCUCCGCGCUCGCCUCCGUGCUCGCGGCGGCCCAGGCCCAGCCCCAGGGCCCGGGGGCGGCCCUGGUGACCGUCGCCGAGGGCCGCUUCUUCUCCAACGGGCUCGACGUCGGGCGGGCGGGCGGCUCCCGCGCGCGGCUCCGGGAGCUCGUCGACGCGUUCCGCCCCAUCGCCGCCGACCUGCUGGCGCUCCCCAUGCCCACCGUGGCCGCCGUCACGGGCCACGCCUCCGCCGCCGGGCUCCUCCUCGCGCUCUGCCACGACUACCGCCUCAUGCGCGCCGACCGCGGCGUGCUCUACAUGGGCCUCCCGCUCCCGCCCUACGUCGCGCGCCUGCUCCGCGCCAAGAUUACCCAGGCGCACGCGCUCCGGGACGUCGCGCUGCGCGGGAGGAAGCUCAGGGCGCCCGAGGCCAGGGAGAUGGGGAUCGUCGACGCCGUCUGCGCCGGCGCGCCCGAGACCGCCGCCGAGGCCGUCAAGCUCGCCGAGCAGCUCGCGGCCAGGGAGUGGGACGGCGCCGUGUACGCGUCCAUCAGGGUCUCCACGUUCCCCGAUGCGUGCAGGGCCGUCGGGAUUGCCGUGGAGAGCGACGAGGAGAAGAGCAGGCACUUCGCUUCCAGACUCUGA
This 720-nucleotide ribosomal RNA is filed under the name Triticum aestivum (bread wheat). RNAcentral describes it as "partial small subunit ribosomal RNA". The record is from RNAcentral. Lineage: Eukaryota; Viridiplantae; Streptophyta; Magnoliopsida; Poales; Poaceae.